CACAUCCAGGCACACAGCCAUCUAGAGGCACACAUACACUCUUACAGCACACAGUCAAUUCCCUCCCCCUACCCCUGAACCUAAUUCAGUCCCAGAACAGAGAGAGCAAUACAAGGUCUGAGCCAAAGGAAACAGACCAAAGCCAGACUGGGUCUGGGUGUGGGGGAGGAGGAGGAAAGGGGUCGGGAGGAGGCAGCCCAGGUCAGGGGCCCAGAGUGGACCAGCAAUGCAAUUGGAAUGGGAAAGAACCGUAGAGCCCCCUGAGAGGCUGCAGCCCCUCAGGCCUGGCCCUCAGGCCUGGGCCUCCCUUCAUCCCAGUUUCAGGCUGCAUUCUUAAUCGGGCCACGGCCCCGGCUACCUAGAGAGACAGUCACACACUGGCUUCAAGACCAGAGAAACCCCAGCAAAGGGCAGCCAGCUUCUGGGCAAAGAGUGAAGCCACCGGCUCCCUCCGGCUUGCAGCUUCUCCUUUCUGAAGUGGGUGGGCAGUUUCCGGCCAACCUUUUGCCUCCUUCUCUCCAGCCGCCCCUGCUAACUCCCAGUAAUUUGCCAAAAUUAACAGAUUUAUGGCAGCAUGUUGGUUUGGAUCAACUUUUCGUAUGUACUUUGCAAGAGAAAAACAUUUUCUUCUCCCCCGACUUACUGUUUGCCCAUUAAUACGCUCCACAUUCACUGGUGCUUAAUGACUGUUCAAAUUUUCUCUGUUCAUAGAGAAUGUUGUUGUUGUGAUUAAGGGUGCCAGGGUGCUUGCAAGUACAAACACACCAAAGCCAUGAAAAGGGCAAUUAAUUCUUUAAAAAAAUGCAAGAGAGUGGGAGAGAUUGGAUGCUCUGUUUACAGAAAAGCAAGAAAGAAAACAGAUAUUUCUAAGAAGUGUCCUUCCAGGACAGCAACGUCUCCUGUAAAAAUGUCUCCUGGAAAAAAUGUUGAAAUACAAAUGUUCAUGGAAACUGCUGUCCAGCAGACAUUUGGUUAUUCAACAACCAUGUGUCAACUACUCAUUAUGGGCCUGGUUCUGGGGUAAUUCAUAAAGGAAGCCACAGGGUGUGGGCGAAGUGGACAUCUGGGCCAGGACUGAAAUCCCAGCUCAAGAUAAGUCAUCCCUUGCCUCUGAGCCUCAGUUUACCCAUCUGAAAAUUAGGAGGUGGAAAUCCCAAGGGUGGCUAUCAAAAUUCAAGAGGACAUGUGUAUCAAGGGCUUAGCUUGCUGCUAGCACAUAGUAAGUGUACAAGAACUGCCUGGUUCAUUAUUCGUUCACUCUCCUGAACAAAUCAGUGGCCGUUUUAAUGGCUUUGGUGUGUUUGGACUUGCAAGCACCCUGGCACCCUUAAUCACAGCAACAGCACUCUCUAGCACCAGAGUACGUUCUCUGGGCCAUGGGCCAUGCCAUGGGGCUGGAUUUUGAAGUUACAACUUCAAGAAAGGCAAGUUUCUGCCCAUGUAUGGCUGAUGAUCCAACGGUGGGAGACAGAAACUACUAAACAUCUGCAAUGGCAACGUGUCCAACAGUGAUAAAUGCCUGAAGGGAAAUAAAACAAAGUAAGAUACAAAGCAGGGCCAAAGUAGAUAAGGCCCUGCUGAGCUGUGUUGGAUGAUGUCAUCAGGGGCCUGGGGAGGCCAGCAAGGUGACUUGUGCAGACACCCGAGUCGGGUGUCGAUAUCUUCCUCCAUACCUUUUAUCUUUCCUAAAAAUAUGGUUGGGAAGCCCUGGUCCAUCUGCAAAGGACAGGGGCAAGUUGGCCUAUGCGCUAGCAAUUGCUACAUAUUGUGAGAGCUCUUAAACCAAAGGUCAGGACACACCCAGUGAAUGUUUCCCUUCCAGAUAAGAAAAAUAUUCUGAGCACCUGCUAUGCGCCAAGCGUUGUGCUAUGUAGUGGGGGCACAACUGCAGGGAAACCAGACAUGGUCCCUCCCUGCCUCCUGGCAUUUAGAGCCAAGACAGAGGGUCAGAUUAUAAAUGAACACAGGCACCAUGAUUAUUUCAUCUCAAACUCUGGUUGGUGCUAUGGGAAAGGAGCAGUGAUCUUUGAGACCUGAGAGGGGGUCCUGAUGGAGCAGACACCAGCAGAAGGAUCCUUCCGGGAAGUGACGUUGAAGCUAAGCUUGAAAAGAAAGAAGCCAGUGGACAUCUUCUGGUGAGACCCAGAGCACCCCACCUGCAAGGGGCCUGAUCUCCCUUGAACCAAGAGCCCUGCCACUCGCCCCAGCUGCCUAAAGGCUGACAGGAGAAGAGGGAGUCAGAAUGGUGCUCCAAACAGAGCUCACUGGAAUCUCAGCUCAGCCAUUUACUUGCUCUGUCAACUUGGGCUCUCGCUGCAGAUGUCAUUAGUGAAGACGAAGUCACACUGGAGUAGGCUGGGCCCUAAAUCAAAUGGCUGUUAGUUUUAUAAGAAGAGGGAAAUUUGGACACAGACACACACAAAGAGGAACAACCAGCGUGUGAAGACAGAGGCAGAGAUUGGAAUGAGGCAGCCACAAGCCAAUGAACCGCUGCAGCUCCCAGAGGCCAGAAGAGGCAAGGGAAUAUCCUCCCCUAGAGGCUGCAGAGGGAGCACAGCCCUGCCAGUGCCUUGAUUCGAGACUUCGAGACUUCCAGCCUCCAGAACUGGGAAAGAAUAAAUAUCUGCUGUUUUAAGCACUUUGGUUUGUGGUGCUUUGUCACUGGCAGCCCUGGGAGUAGUCCAGAAUUAUAACCCCUACCUUCCCCGAGGACUGCUUGUCCAGAGGGUUCCCCAGGGUCCCAUUCUUAACAGAUCCUCCUUGAAUGCCCUGCAGCCACCGCUGAUGUGCUGGAAGUCACUUCUGCUGGCUUUGAUGAAGGGAAGGAAGCAGAUGAGAAAGAGGGUGUAUAUGAGUGACUCAUUGAACCUAUUGUCUAUCCAUAGAGAGAGGGGACGAGAGAGUGCCUUGUCCCCAAGACCUGGGCCCACAGUGGCCCCUUAAGUAAGUUCAGGCCCUCUCACCUGGGCAGGGGUCAGAAGCCUAGAGCAACAGCAACCACUGAAAGCCCUCAGCACUCCACUUAGGCCUCCACUCCAGAGCCUCAGAGCUGCCAGCUUCUUCUCCCUGAUACCCCUGCAGAAACUCAGCCACCUUCUAUUUAGAAGGAUCAGCCAUCAGAUGCUUCUAAAUAAAUCCAAUCCCUCCACCCUCCUGCUUUCCACUUGCAACUGUCUCUGUCCACUGGCACUUGGACCCAAGAGCUAAUUGCAGAAGCUUCAUCUUAAAGGAAACCACAAACACGCUCUCACCCACGUUUUACGACUUUAUAACUCACCAAAUAAACCUGAUUCCUAUAACCAUAAAACAAAGCCGAAAUGAGUUGGACAUGUACCAGCGAGGAGAAGCAGGAGGCGGGUGGAGAUUGCCAGAGGGGGCUCUCAGCUGUGGAGUCGCGGCUCUCCGUGUGGAUUUCGGCAUCUCAGUCUUGCAGAAACUUAAUAUUCCAAUCAGCACCCAAGCAAGGCGUUGGAAGCCAAGGAGUGCAUGAGUGCCCCCAUAGCUGGGGGAAUAUUACUCACCAGGUCAUGGUCGGCUGCGUAAAAUACAACCCUCAUAUAUCAUUAUAACUGCCAGCCAACGACAGUUAUAAUUGAGACGGCAAUAACUAGGAGAGAGUUCUUUAA
This 3626-nucleotide long non-coding RNA is filed under the name Homo sapiens (human). Its description in RNAcentral is "HSALNT0405418". The record is from RNAcentral. Lineage: Eukaryota; Metazoa; Chordata; Mammalia; Primates; Hominidae.